This 754-nucleotide ribosomal RNA is filed under the name uncultured bacterium. RNAcentral describes it as "bacterial SSU rRNA". It matches the Rfam family "Bacterial small subunit ribosomal RNA", at positions 106 to 877 of the family's 1533-position model. The record is from RNAcentral.
GUGAGUAACGCGUGGAUAACCUGCCGUAUACCGGGGGAUAACACUUGGAAAUAGGUGCUAAUACCGCAUAAGCGCACGGCUCCGCAUGGGGCAGUGUGAAAAACUCCGGUGGUAUACGAUGGAUCCGCGUCUGAUUAGCUAGUUGGCGGGGUAACGGCCCACCAAGGCAGCGAUCAGUAGCCGGCCUGAGAGGGUGGACGGCCACAUUGGGACUGAGACACGGCCCAAACUCCUACGGGAGGCAGCAGUGGGGAAUAUUGCACAAUGGGGGAAACCCUGAUGCAGCGACGCCGCGUGAGUGAAGAAGUAUCUCGGUACGUAAAGCUCUAUCAGCAGGGAAGAAAAUGACGGUACCUGACUAAGAAGCCCCGGCUAACUACGUGCCAGCAGCCGCGGUAAUACGUAGGGGGCAAGCGUUAUCCGGAAUUACUGGGUGUAAAGGGAGCGUAGACGGUAAUGCAAGUCUGGAGUGAAAGGCGGGGGCCCAACCCCCGGACUGCUCUGGAAACUGUGUAACUGGAGUGCAGGAGAGGCAGGCGGAAUUCCUAGUGUAGCGGUGAAAUGCGUAGAUAUUAGGAGGAACACCAGUGGCGAAGGCGGCCUGCUGGACUGUAACUGACGUUGAGGCUCGAAAGCGUGGGGAGCAAACAGGAUUAGAUACCCUGGUAGUCCACGCCGUAAACGAUGAUUACUAGGUGUGGGUGGGUAUGGACCCAUCGGUGCCGCAGCAAACGCAGUAAGUAAUCCACCUGGG